GACGAACGCUGGCGGCGUGCUUAACACAUGCAAGUCGAACGGAAAGGCCCUGCUUUUGUGGGGUGCUCGAGUGGCGAACGGGUGAGUAACACGUGAGUAACCUGCCCUUGACUUUGGGAUAACUUCAGGAAACUGGGGCUAAUACCGGAUAGGAUCUCCUGCUGCAUGGUGGGGGUUGGAAAGUUUCGGCGGUUGGGGAUGUACUCGCGGCUUAUCAGCUUGUUGGUGGGGUAGUGGCUUACCAAGGCUUUGACGGGUAGCCGGCCUGAGAGGGUUACCGGGCACAUUGGGACUGAGAUACGGCCCAGACGGCUACGGGAGGCAGCAGUGGAGAAUAUUGCACAAUGGGCGGAAGCCUGAUGCAGCAACGCGGCGAGCGGGAUGACGGCCUUCGGGGUGUAAACAGAUUUCGCCUGUGACGAAGCGUGAGUGACGGUAAUGGGUAAAGAAGCACCGGCUAACUACGUG
Molecule: ribosomal RNA, 468 nt
Filed under: uncultured bacterium
Lineage: Bacteria
Description: partial 16S ribosomal RNA
Rfam family: Bacterial small subunit ribosomal RNA
Source: RNAcentral